Cyanistes caeruleus (blue tit) is the source of this 2095-nucleotide non-coding RNA. The record is from RefSeq and is a predicted model, not a curated record. Lineage: Eukaryota; Metazoa; Chordata; Aves; Passeriformes; Paridae.
AGCGGCCCCGCGCAGCCGCCUGCCCGCCCCAGCCGGCCAAGGAUAGGCCCUGCCGCUGAGCUACUCCCCGGAACCGCUCCAGCCCAAACCUCCUCCUGCGGCAACGGUAACGAACGAAGGAGAAACACACUUCAGCCAGAGCAGCGGAAAUCGUAAUUGUUUCAGCUACCCGCCUUCCCAUGCUGCAUUUGCCGCCUGCAUGCCUAACUAGAUCAGCACAGAAACAGUAACAAGGAAAGGCAAAAGUACUAGGAGGUAAGAAAAGAUGAACUGCACUCCUUGUAAAUCAACUCCCUUUUUCCAAAUUACAUUAGCUAAUGGUGGCAGCACCUUCACGUCCUUUCACCUUCAAAAGCUGAUGUCUCAUUUAAGUAAUUCCAAGAAACAUGAGGGGGGGGGAGGAGUGGAGGCUGAGAAACAGAAAGGCAAACUUACACAAGGAGAAUUUUAAUAGCUUCCUGUAAGUUACUGUUGUCUGCAUUAGAACUAAUUUUUUGGCAUCAGUCCGGUAUUGGAGCAUCAGCCUUAGAGAUUCCUAAGCAGACAGAAUAAGGUACACGGCGGUGUCUGCACACACCAUGCAGAGAUGUCUGAAGCAGGACACAGUUUUACUAUUAAACAUUAUUUUUUAAUAUGACAUAUUAAUUUUAAGGGAGAAUGUGGAACUACAAAAGGGCUGUGUUACUCAAUAGCCAAAUGUCUCUACAGCCUGUAUUUUGUAUAGCUGAUAGCACCAAGUCACUAAUGGAUGAGACAGAAGUGUUGACUUUACAGGGACAGUCAGAAACCAGAUUUCCUCAACAGUGAACCCCGGAGAUGUUUUACUGUGAAUGCUGAAGGAACAGCUAUAAAAACCAUGUGAAACUUUAACUUGCACUAAUUAGCAUUUACAGCUUUUUUUACUGCAUCAACACAUUUAAAGCUGAAUCCUAGCUUGCAUUUCAGCUGGUCAAAACCAAAAUGAACCACAGAGCUUAAACUAUUAAUACUAGAUUUGAAAAGAAUAUAUAUCACAACUGAAUAAAGGCCACAUAUGGUAAUAUGGUAAAUGCUGUGCCACAAUUAAAUACAAAGCUAACAAUGCUGUGAUAAAAUGCACCCUUUAAAAUGAGACUGUUAUCUUAAAUACCUCUUUAAGAGAUGAGAAAUUACACCAUGUAUUCUUUACUUUCUAGUGUAGUUAUGUAAAACCUCCAGAUACUGCCUAAAACUCAGGGGAUGAAGCUAAGAAAUCAGUUGUGUUGGGAAAAAAGAAUGGAGUUGAUAUCCACGUCUUUGAGGAGAUGUCCACGAUCAUCCCCUGGAAAUUAUGGAUGCAUGUCUAUUAAGUACUUCUCUACUGCCACCUGAUGCUCAAACAGAAAACCUAUGGAAAAGCAGGAAUACUUCGACAGAGUAGGGUGCUGCAUAGAACACGACAAAGAAAAAGAACAUUUUGCUACCGAGACUGAGAAAAGGCAUUACUAUGAAAAAGGUCCAGUAAAUCAGUCAACCAACAGACAACAAGGGACAAGAAGCUACUCAGUCUAUUCUCUGUCCUGCACAGUCCCUCUCCUAAAUAAGUGGGAUGGCAUCCUUGAACAUAGCCAGAGUUUUGUCACACAAAACAGCAUUAACUCCUGUAUUCUGGGUGAGCCUAAUUUCUGGGUGAGCCUAAUUUCUGCUCUGAAGUCUACAGGAGUCAACCAGGCCUGCAGUGAACACGGGCAUCUCCGUUCUCAAUGCAUUACUUUGUACGAAGGUAUAGAGCUGCUUUUGCCUCAGGGCUGCCAAGUGCUUUACCAUCACUGUACUGGAAAACAUCCAUCCCUCAAGCAAAGAGUCUAAGAUACACAGAGGGUAGCCCCAUUGCCUGAGGUAACAGAGCAUUUUAACAGAAUAUUCUGAGUAUCGCACACUCGUGUUUCAACUGCUAACACCACUGUGCAAGCCUCUUGUUCAGCCUGAGAGUUACACAGGAUUAGCAGGACUCCUACACCACCCAUAAGAUAUACUGUAGAAUGUAACUGGAGACAUAACAAGAGCUUCUUUAAGUACAAAGCAUUAUUAAAGUUACAUCUCCUGCUAUUUGAAGUUUUUUUUCCUUCAAAAAGCA